CCUCCAUCUCUCUCCCUGACCCCUCUCACCCUCUCGACCAGUCGGCCACCGGUGAAGAGCGCCGGCGCCGCCCCUGUUCCAGCGAGCAGCCAGCCGCCGCCGUUACACCGAACGCCGUCUCCUCCAGCCCGGCGCUGUCCCCCUUCUCUUCUUUCUUCGGCCGGCAGCAACGACUGCUGUCGCCGUCACCUCGGCGGACAACAGAGCUGCUCCGCCGCCUCCUCCCCUUUACCCCAGAUCUGGCGCCGCCACCGCGCCUGUUUCUCCGGCGAGGGCGCUGCCUACCUCCACUCCACACCGGCGCCGUUCAGACGCCCACUCCCCUGUCUACUCUAAGCCUCAAC
This 344-nucleotide long non-coding RNA is filed under the name Salvia miltiorrhiza (redroot sage). Its description in RNAcentral is "long non-coding RNA (SMIL_LNC013147)". The record is from RNAcentral. Lineage: Eukaryota; Viridiplantae; Streptophyta; Magnoliopsida; Lamiales; Lamiaceae.